This 449-nucleotide ribosomal RNA is filed under the name uncultured organism. Its description in RNAcentral is "partial 16S ribosomal RNA". It matches the Rfam family "Bacterial small subunit ribosomal RNA", at positions 331 to 797 of the family's 1533-position model. The record is from RNAcentral.
GUACACUCCUGCGGGAGGCAGCAGUGGGGAAUAUUGGACAAUGGGCGCAAGCCUGAUCCAGCCAUGCCGCGUGAGUGAUGAAGGCCCUAGGGUUGUAAAGCUCUUUCACCGGAGAAGAUAAUGACGGUAUCCGGAGAAGAAGCCCCGGCUAACUUCGUGCCAGCAGCCGCGGUAAUACGAAGGGGGCUAGCGUUGUUCGGAAUUACUGGGCGUAAAGCGCACGUAGGCGGAUCGAUCAGUCAGGGGUGAAAUCCCAGGGCUCAACCCUGGAACUGCCUUUGAUACUGUCGAUCUGGAGUAUGGAAGAGGUGAGUGGAAUUCCGAGUGUAGAGGUGAAAUUCGUAGAUAUUCGGAGGAACACCAGUGGCGAAGGCGGCUCACUGGUCCAUUACUGACGCUGAGGUGCGAAAGCGUGGGGAGCAAACAGGAUUAGAUACCCUUGUAGUCCC